This is a long non-coding RNA of Lactuca sativa (garden lettuce), 379 nucleotides long. RefSeq lists it as uncharacterized. The record is from RefSeq and is a predicted model, not a curated record. Lineage: Eukaryota; Viridiplantae; Streptophyta; Magnoliopsida; Asterales; Asteraceae.
UUUCACUGUAGAUGCUUGUUGGGAUUUUAUCGUCUGUAAUUGCAACUUGUUAUGAGAUGGCCAAAACCAUUGCAUUUUGCAAUAGUUGAUGAACUUGAUUAUGUCCUAAUUGAUGAGGGAAGAAACCCAUUGCUGAUAAGGGGUGAGGCUAGCAAGGAUGCUGCACGUAACACAGUUGCUGCUAAAGUAGCUGAGCUUCUCAUGCGUGGCCUCGUAUUUUACUUUUUUGCCCUUCUUUUUCCUUUUUGAUGUCUUGUUAUCCAUCUCCAUUGUAUGCGUAUCUCAUUGUUUGUUCCACUACACAUCAUGUAAAUUUAUAUAUUGUAACAAAUAGAAUUGUAAGACAUUAAAUUUUAUGAAAUGGAUUAUAUUUUUUGUA